This 2902-nucleotide ribosomal RNA is filed under the name Escherichia coli. RNAcentral describes it as "bacterial LSU rRNA". It matches the Rfam family "Bacterial large subunit ribosomal RNA". The record is from RNAcentral. Lineage: Bacteria; Pseudomonadati; Pseudomonadota; Gammaproteobacteria; Enterobacterales; Enterobacteriaceae.
UUAAGCGACUAAGCGUACACGGUGGAUGCCCUGGCAGUCAGAGGCGAUGAAGGACGUGCUAAUCUGCGAUAAGCGUCGGUAAGGUGAUAUGAACCGUUAUAACCGGCGAUUUCCGAAUGGGGAAACCCAGUGUGUUUCGACACACUAUCAUUAACUGAAUCCAUAGGUUAAUGAGGCGAACCGGGGGAACUGAAACAUCUAAGUACCCCGAGGAAAAGAAAUCAACCGAGAUUCCCCCAGUAGCGGCGAGCGAACGGGGAGCAGCCCAGAGCCUGAAUCAGUGUGUGUGUUAGUGGAAGCGUCUGGAAAGGCGCGCGAUACAGGGUGACAGCCCCGUACACAAAAAUGCACAUAUUGUGAGCUCGAUGAGUAGGGCGGGACACGUGGUAUCCUGUCUGAAUAUGGGGGGACCAUCCUCCAAGGCUAAAUACUCCUGACUGACCGAUAGUGAACCAGUACCGUGAGGGAAAGGCGAAAAGAACCCCGGCGAGGGGAGUGAAAAAGAACCUGAAACCGUGUACGUACAAGCAGUGGGAGCCUCUUUUAUGGGGUGACUGCGUACCUUUUGUAUAAUGGGUCAGCGACUUAUAUUCUGUAGCAAGGUUAACCGAAUAGGGGAGCCGAAGGGAAACCGAGUCUUAACUGGGCGUUAAGUUGCAGGGUAUAGACCCGAAACCCGGUGAUCUAGCCAUGGGCAGGUUGAAGGUUGGGUAACACUAACUGGAGGACCGAACCGACUAAUGUUGAAAAAUUAGCGGAUGACUUGUGGCUGGGGGUGAAAGGCCAAUCAAACCGGGAGAUAGCUGGUUCUCCCCGAAAGCUAUUUAGGUAGCGCCUCGUGAAUUCAUCUCCGGGGGUAGAGCACUGUUUCGGCAAGGGGGUCAUCCCGACUUACCAACCCGAUGCAAACUGCGAAUACCGGAGAAUGUUAUCACGGGAGACACACGGCGGGUGCUAACGUCCGUCGUGAAGAGGGAAACAACCCAGACCGCCAGCUAAGGUCCCAAAGUCAUGGUUAAGUGGGAAACGAUGUGGGAAGGCCCAGACAGCCAGGAUGUUGGCUUAGAAGCAGCCAUCAUUUAAAGAAAGCGUAAUAGCUCACUGGUCGAGUCGGCCUGCGCGGAAGAUGUAACGGGGCUAAACCAUGCACCGAAGCUGCGGCAGCGACGCUUAUGCGUUGUUGGGUAGGGGAGCGUUCUGUAAGCCUGUGAAGGUGUGCUGUGAGGCAUGCUGGAGGUAUCAGAAGUGCGAAUGCUGACAUAAGUAACGAUAAAGCGGGUGAAAAGCCCGCUCGCCGGAAGACCAAGGGUUCCUGUCCAACGUUAAUCGGGGCAGGGUGAGUCGACCCCUAAGGCGAGGCCGAAAGGCGUAGUCGAUGGGAAACAGGUUAAUAUUCCUGUACUUGGUGUUACUGCGAAGGGGGGACGGAGAAGGCUAUGUUGGCCGGGCGACGGUUGUCCCGGUUUAAGCGUGUAGGCUGGUUUUCCAGGCAAAUCCGGAAAAUCAAGGCUGAGGCGUGAUGACGAGGCACUACGGUGCUGAAGCAACAAAUGCCCUGCUUCCAGGAAAAGCCUCUAAGCAUCAGGUAACAUCAAAUCGUACCCCAAACCGACACAGGUGGUCAGGUAGAGAAUACCAAGGCGCUUGAGAGAACUCGGGUGAAGGAACUAGGCAAAAUGGUGCCGUAACUUCGGGAGAAGGCACGCUGAUAUGUAGGUGAAGCGACUUGCUCGUGGAGCUGAAAUCAGUCGAAGAUACCAGCUGGCUGCAACUGUUUAUUAAAAACACAGCACUGUGCAAACACGAAAGUGGACGUAUACGGUGUGACGCCUGCCCGGUGCCGGAAGGUUAAUUGAUGGGGUCAGCGCAAGCGAAGCUCUUGAUCGAAGCCCCGGUAAACGGCGGCCGUAACUAUAACGGUCCUAAGGUAGCGAAAUUCCUUGUCGGGUAAGUUCCGACCUGCACGAAUGGCGUAAUGAUGGCCAGGCUGUCUCCACCCGAGACUCAGUGAAAUUGAACUCGCUGUGAAGAUGCAGUGUACCCGCGGCAAGACGGAAAGACCCCGUGAACCUUUACUAUAGCUUGACACUGAACAUUGAGCCUUGAUGUGUAGGAUAGGUGGGAGGCUUGGAAGUGUGGACGCCAGUCUGCAUGGAGCCGACCUUGAAAUACCACCCUUUAAUGUUUGAUGUUCUAACGUGGACCCGUAAUCCGGGUUGCGGACAGUGUCUGGUGGGUAGUUUGACUGGGGCGGUCUCCUCCUAAAGAGUAACGGAGGAGCACGAAGGUUGGCUAAUCCUGGUCGGACAUCAGGAGGUUAGUGCAAUGGCAUAAGCCAGCUUGACUGCGAGCGUGACGGCGCGAGCAGGUGCGAAAGCAGGUCAUAGUGAUCCGGUGGUUCUGAAUGGAAGGGCCAUCGCUCAACGGAUAAAAGGUACUCCGGGGAUAACAGGCUGAUACCGCCCAAGAGUUCAUAUCGACGGCGGUGUUUGGCACCUCGAUGUCGGCUCAUCACAUCCUGGGGCUGAAGUAGGUCCCAAGGGUAUGGCUGUUCGCCAUUUAAAGUGGUACGCGAGCUGGGUUUAGAACGUCGUGAGACAGUUCGGUCCCUAUCUGCCGUGGGCGCUGGAGAACUGAGGGGGGCUGCUCCUAGUACGAGAGGACCGGAGUGGACGCAUCACUGGUGUUCGGGUUGUCAUGCCAAUGGCACUGCCCGGUAGCUAAAUGCGGAAGAGAUAAGUGCUGAAAGCAUCUAAGCACGAAACUUGCCCCGAGAUGAGUUCUCCCUGACCCUUUAAGGGUCCUGAAGGAACGUUGAAGACGACGACGUUGAUAGGCCGGGUGUGUAAGCGCAGCGAUGCGUUGAGCUAACCGGUACUAAUGAACCGUGAGGCUUAACCUU